UGGACUUGGGACCGUCCUAGGCUUAGGACUUAGGUUGCAUCGACAAUCAGUAGCAGUGGUUAAGGUGAAAAAAAGGAUGUUGAGGGCAAAGAAAAGAGCAAGAGAGGUUGAGUUCUUUGAAGCCAUUGGUAUUUUCUUUAGUGUUUUAAGGAUUAUUGAUUGAGUUUGAAGAGAGAGAUGAAAAGAAAUGAAGAGAAGAUGUGCUUAUUUAUAGGGUUUUAGAAUGACGUGAAGAGGAUCCAAAUUGUUUGACUUUAAUUAUUAUUUGAAUAUUUAUAAUUCUACAAAAUAUCUGAUUUUUUAUUUGCUCAUAUUCAAAAUCUGACUUUCUUUUCCCAUUCUGUAGAUACGUAGAACCUCAAAGUAAUUUGGAACAUAGUAAUGCAUGUAAAUUAAGAAAAUAUUUGAUUCGUGCAAUUUUUUUUUUGUCAAUGCUGUUAUUAUUACCUCCAUCAUCAGUUCAUGACCUCAUUGUACAUUUUUAUAGAUUCUCUUUCGCUCAUCCCGUAUAGCUAUUUUAGUUAUUUAAGAGGAGAUAAAAUCUCACCAUACAAAAUGGUAUAUAUAAUAAAUGAAUAUUUCGCCUUUAUGUAUCCUGUUAUGCAUAAUCUAUAAAAAAUGUACAUGAAUCAAAGUAUAUAAUCUAUAAAAAUGUAGUUGAAUCUACAUAAAAUUUAUUUUUAUUUCUUUGGUCUAAAACUACGGAUUGGGCAGAAAACAUUCUUGAUGGGACAAUUCAAUCCAGCAAGGAAUUAGGUGAGACUCUUCUGCCCAUUUGUUAAAAUUCUUUAGUUACUAUUCUUUGGAUCUGAGAUGUACAAGAGGAGAAAAUUAGGUUAUCCAAUGAACCCAAGACCCACUCUAUUGACCAUAUAAAAAAAUUCAAAAUAAUAUGAUCAUCUUAAAACAAAAAUUAAGAAAGUAGAUACAUCGAAAUCAAAUUACUACAAAAAGAAUCCAUAUUUUGCGGAAAUUUAUCGCAAAUGGAAAACUUCCGACUCACUUCCUACAAAAUUAAAUUCGUUAGCUGUAAAUUAUCCGUCAAGAAAAAAUUAUGAAAGUAGAUAGAUCGAAAUCAAAUAUCUACAAAAGGUAUUAUGUAUUUUCGACAACUGUAUAUGUCAAAAAUUUAUCGUAAAUAAAGUAAACUCUGACUAAUUUCUAACAAAAUUAAAUUAAUUAGAGUUUACUGAUCCAAAACUAACUAUGUCAGAAAUUUGUCGUAAAUUAUUGAUGAAAUUAUCAUCGAAAACUCGUAUGUCGUAAGAAUAUUAGUCAGAAACUUCCAACGACAUUCAUAUAGUUAAACCUGCAUUGAUAAAAACUGGACAUAUCUUUCAAACCGAAGAUGAAUUACUAUAAAUAUUUACAUCAUUUUUUUUUUAAUCUAAUAUUAAAUUAUAUUCAAAAGAAAAAUAACGUUUUUACAAUUAGUGCAACGGGAGUUUGAAGUCCUACACAAUACUAAACUUAAAAUUGAUAAUCAUGAUGAUGAGAUUAUGAUCGACUUUGAAGCCAAGCUUGAAAACAAGUCUCAUACCACCUAUCCUUUGACCUUUUGAUUGUUGUGAAUUGAUUGCGGACUUGUGAAUCAAUCCAUUUGAUUAAUUGGCUUGGAGAGUUUGAUGGUUUGCCAUGCCACCUUCCAUUUCUUUCCCUCCAAAUGGUAUAGAGCGUUACUUGAACGACGUAUUUGAGGAGGAAGAUGUCUACUCGACUAUGAUGAUGAGCUUCGACGUAGGAUAGAAUCGCGACCAAUCAGUAGAAAAAUGUGUUUUGAACACGCCUUUUGCAAGCACAGCCCAAACCUCCGAUGCAUAAGUGCAGGAGAAGAACAGGUGCCGCAUCAUUUUGUUUCUUGCUUAAUAUAUAUCUUUGGGUUGGUUUCUAGAGUUCUUCAUUAGUUUGACAAAUUUUAUGUUUCCGAUUUCUAAAUCCAUCUAGACAAAAUUACUAUUGUAAUUUUACUUUAAUGAUUUUAAAUAAGAAACAAAGAUUUAUUUGAAAAAUAUAUGACAAAUUAUUAUUGACGAAUUCUCAAUACUACACACACACAUGGGAUAAUUAGAUAAUUUAGUUUUAAGAAUUAAAAAAAAUCGUGUAAAAGUAUUUCUAAAAAAAUAAUUAUGGCCUUGAUUUAUCUUACGUAGGAAUUUUACUUAACAACACUUGUUAAACAUGUUUACGUGAACACAUGCAUUAGGGGUAUACCUAUUAGUUUUGCAAUUCUUUUUUAUUUGGAGUUUUAGAUAUUUCAUCAUUCAAGUACUUUGACAAAAAAAAAAAAAAGUCAUCAUUCAAGUACAGUUACAUCUUUUUUUCCUUUUUAAUCAAAAAUUACAGUUACGUCUUAUAAAAAGAAUUCCAGGGUUAAACUUACACUAGUUGGAUAUAGAUUGUUGCUCUUUAGAAAAAAAAAAGAAGAAAUACAAAUACGAUUCUUUGAGAAUAAAAGUGGAAACAAGAAGCUUAUUAUUACUUUAAAUAUCAGAUUGAACAAAUUGAUAAAAAUGGAUACAGUACGAGAAGUAUAAGAAACACUUAACUGAAAAUAGGAGAAUUCAAAGAAUCUUAAUCAAGGAAAAACAUCAAAAGAUAACUUAAACAUUAUAAUCAAUCGAAGGGUGGAUAGAUAUAUCAAGCACAUACGAAACCAGAAGGAACCUUCUUGCCACAAACAUUGAGAAGAAGGCUGAGAGAGACGGGAACAUUAAGAUUAAUGCCUAAAACUUUAGCCUUUAGGGCGGUGCAGAGACAAGCGGCAGCCUCAAGAUCAACUAAACCAUUGAGGAGCGAACAACAAGGCUUCACUGGUGGUGUUCCCAACUGAAUUUUGAGAAGAUCCUUGAGAACAUUGGCGCAAACGCCGAGCUUGAGAGUGUCUUUAGGGCAGCUUCCGGUGGACUUGGGCUUAGGUUUGGGUUUAGGGGUGGAACUGCAGCCACCGCCACAUGCGGUGGUUAAAGUGAAAAAAAGAAUGUUGAAUGUGAGGAAAAUGACAAGAGAGGCUGAAAUUUUUGAAGCCAUUUCUCAAAAAAUCAAAUUUCUAUUUUAGGUAAGAAGUUUUAAGAUAGAAGUAUUGCCAAAAGAGAGUGGUGAAGAUAAAUGAAGAGAGGGUGUACGUAUAUAUAUUAGGGCUUCAAGGGGUUGGACAGUUAAUUAAAGCUGUCAUUACUGUAUAAUUUUGAAGAAUUAUUAGACAAAUUUAUAUUUUAGUAAGUGGAUCUUUGUAUUAUUAAGUGGUUAAGAUAUACUUUAUUUUUUUUUAUUGCAUUAUGAAACAAAUGUUAAAUCAUGGAUAGAUGACCCUGUUGGGCAGUCAUCGUUUUUUUCUUUUUCAAAACUUUUAUUAGUUUAGUAGUUAGAAAGUUUUUCGUUAGUCAUCUAUACAAAAAGAAGAAACAAUACAUGUUUUUUUUUCCUGGCUAAAUAUAAUAGAUGGUUUUUAACUUUAACCAAUCCAUCUUUUAUUUAUGGGCCAUAUAUAUAUAUAUAUGAAAACUGAAAAUAACGUUUUGAUGUGAAAUAUACCAAAUAUACUUAUUUAGUGCAGAGUUAACAUGAGAUAAUAUGUAUUUCUCUUUAGUUAAUAAAUGAUACUAGUUAUUUAGUACGGAGUUAACAUGAGCUAAUAUGUAUUUCUCUUUAUUUAAUCAAUGAUACUAGUUUUAUUGUAAAGUAGAUGCAUUUACAAAUAAAAGUAUUGCUCAAAUAUUUCAAUAAUGACUUUUAAUACAGUAUAUGCAUUUUCAACUGUGAACACUUUGAAAAAUAAUGGAUUUUACAUUCCGUUCGACUUUAUGUUUUCUUAAGUUGAUUCAUAUUAUAUUGGUUUUGACGUUCGACUUUAUGUUUUCUUAAGUUGAUUCAUAUUAUUUUGGGUUUGAUCUAUUUUAAAUCCAAAAAAUUACAUUUUCUUAUUUGAUUUCUUAAAAUAUUUAACUUGUUCGAGCGUCUAUUAAUUUUUUAUGUGAGUUGAUUUAAUAUUAAUUUAGAAUAAUUUGUUCUAAAACAGUCGACAAUGCUUUUCGUAGGUAAAAUUUGUAUAACAGCUGAAUUAUUUAGAAUAUUCGCUUAAAUUCAUAAUCAUCGGCUGUAUUUUCUUAUUUCAAUCUAUCUUUUGUUUUUUUUUUAUUUUAUGAACCUUAAUUAUUAAUUUUCCGUUAAAUUAAUUGUAAUGUAAUUUGUAGACUCAUAUUUAAAUUAGUCCAUGUAAUAUAUACAUUAUUUUGGUCAAAAACAAAAACACGUAGGUACACGAUUAGGUCGACGUGUUAGUUUAUUCGACUGAAAACAACUAUAUACUUAUCUUAUUCGAAAAAUUAUAGAACAAAAUAAACUAUAAUCGACGCACAUGUAUUCAAUAAUUACUCAUACUUCCCAUGUGUUGUGUAGCCCAGAAUGUAAAUAAUAGGCAUGUGUUUGGAGAUUAGUAAUUUGGAAGUUUAUUGGCUUUAAUUACCCUUCACAUUUUAUUUUUGGGAAAUUAAAAACAACUAUAAUUCAUCAAAUAACAACAAUAUUAUUCUUUUUUUUUUGUCAUCAACAAUAUUAUGCUUAUCUUAUGACAAAUAUAGCUUUGGGUUCUUGGACACUAACUUCAGGUUUCAAUCAACAUGGAGUAAACCAUUAAUCAUAUUCUAAUUAACUGUUCGCAUUUUAUUAACCCUUGGUAGUUUCUCGACGCGCUAAGUUUACAAAAUAUGGAUUUCUUCUAUUGGCGAACUCCGUCUCCGCUAAAAAAUAAAAAAGGAUACUACAGUUUUCAACGAAUUACAUAGUUUCUAUGGAAAAGUUUUUAAAAAUAAAAUAAAUAAACAAAUUUUACCAAAGAAUUAUACUGGAACCCUCAGAUUUUUUAAAUCAUGUUAUUAGCGAUCAUUUAGUUUGGGUGGCAGCUCAAAUCAGCCCAACUAAGGAUGUCAAGGAAUUAUUGUUCUUUAAGAUGUCAAGGUGAUGGUUCGUGGAAAUUAUAAUGCCUCGGCCGUAAUCGUCUGCGGCCCCACGUUUUAUUUUGGCAAGUAGAUUCGACCCCGUCCGAGACUAUUUUGGGAGGCUCGAAAGAAUUGUUUAUUGUCCUUACUUAUCGCCACUAAAUAUUUGUUGUGUUUUUUCUUCAUUAACACGGUACCCAAAAUUAAUUUCAGGCAGGUCGAACCAUCAUGAAAUAUAUAUAGUUCAAACACGUUUCACUCUACCAAAUCAAUUUUAAGUCUCUUUGUAUGCAUCACCAAAUUGUUUUUUAGAAAAGAGUUGUGUUAAAACCUCCUCACUAGCUCACAGAUCACAUUAUUGUGUAUCAAGACGGUUACUCCAACAGUGAAUUAGUGUACGUGUCUCCACACUCGUCCGGUUCGGCUCUAAUACUAGUUGUUACGCUUUCCAUGCCCUCUCUCACCAUGUGGAUUCCAUUCUUGUCCAACAGAUGGUAUGUAUAUUUGGGAGACAUUGAAAGACAUGUUUAAUGUUCCUCCUUACUCAUAUGGUAUUUAUUAUUUAACAUUGUUUUCAUUUGGUCACAUAUCCUAAAUAUCGCAAUAGUUCCAUUACGCUUAACUAUAAAAUUUUAUCGAAACGAUUAACGGAAAAUAUGCGUAUAUUUUUGUGACAUAGAUAAUCAAUCAAUUAUUUUAAACUUCUUUGAAUGUAUCUUAAUAUUUUUAAAUUCGAGGGAUUACAUUAAUCUUCUUACCCCAAAUCUGGUUUUGGAUGGAUGGAGAACUAUAAAACUUUGAACAGUUUGAGAAAUCAUAGUUUGCAUUUCAAAUAAAUGGACUGAUUAAGUUAUAUACUUGUCCCUUGUCAUUUUCGUUUUGAGAUUUGAUAUAAGUAUUUAAGGAACAUGUUUGAAUUAUUUAUUUUUUGUCAAUUAAUUUUGAAUUGAAAUUCUGGGUACAGUAUAGAGUCUAAUUGAAAAUUCAUGAUUCUUGAUACGGUAUUAGAGUCUUAACAAGCCAAAUAGAUAAAAUUGGUUCGAACAGAUGAUUAAGUUCGGUAUUAGAUGAAUGAGCCAAAGAACCAUCUUCUCGAAAUGAUAUGUUAAAAAUCCACUAGUAGAUAAAGAUUAAUAUUAGUAAUUUCAACUAUUACCGAUUUGUUUUUAUUUAGAUCUUCAGGUAUUUCUCAUUGUCUAUUUUUAUGUAUCAAAUACAAUUCUUAUAUUUUUUCCAUCAUUUGAGUAUUGUUAAUUAUUAUAAAAUAAUUCCAGGGCUACACUUUUCUAGUAUGUAUAUUUCAAUCGAUAGAUCAGGUAGACAAAGAUUCUUGCUCUUUCAACCGUUAAAAUAAUAUAAGUAAAAUUAAUGUUAGAAGAAAAGUCGAAAGAAGAAGCAGAUUAUAAUCACUUUAACAAUCUUAUUUCUGAGCAAUUUAAUUUAAAAUGUAAACAGUACAAGAAGUAGAAACAACACUGAAAAUGGGAAAAUUCAAAGAAUAUUAAUCAAAGAAAAACAUGGAAAGAAAAUUUAAAACAUUAUAACCAAUCGAAGAGUGGAUAGAUAUAUCAAGCACAUACGAAGCCGGAAGGAACCUUCUUGCCACAAACAUUGAGAAGAAGGCUGAGAGAGACGGGAACAUUAAGAUUAAUGCCUAAAACUUUAGCCUUUAGGGCGGUGCAGAGACAAGCGGCAGCCUCAAGAUCAACUAAACCAUUGAGGAGCGAACAACAAGGCUUCACUGGUGGUGUUCCCAACUGAAUUUUGAGAAGAUCCUUGAGAACAUUGGCGCAAACGCCGAGCUUGAGAGUGUCUUUAGGGCAGCUUCCGGUGGACUUGGGCUUAGGUUUGGGUUUAGGGGUGGAACUGCAGCCACCGCCACAUGCGGUGGUUAAAGUGAAAAAAAGAAUGUUGAAUGUGAGGAAAAUGACAAGAGAGGCUGAAAUUUUUGAAGCCAUUUCUCAAAAAAUCAAAUUUCUAUUUUAGGUAAGAAGUUUUAAGAUAGAAGUAUUGCCAAAAGAGAGUGGU
Molecule: long non-coding RNA, 6962 nt
Filed under: Arabidopsis thaliana (thale cress)
Lineage: Eukaryota; Viridiplantae; Streptophyta; Magnoliopsida; Brassicales; Brassicaceae
Description: long non-coding RNA (ATHA_LNC000246)
Source: RNAcentral